UUAAAAGCUCGUAGUUGGAUUUCUGUGGGGACGGAGCGGCCGGCCGCAACUUGCGGUUCGAGCUAGCGCUUUCCCUACAUCCUGCCGCGAACCGUGCUACCAUUAGUUUGGUGGCGCCGGGGAUCGGCUCGUUUACUUUGAGAAAAAUAGAGUGUUCAAAGCAGGCCACACGCCUUGAAUAAGUUAGCAUGGAAUAAUAAUAAAGGACUUCGGUUCUAUUUUGUUGGUGUUCGGGACUGAAGUAAUGAUUGAUAGGGACAGUUGGGGCGGUCAGUAUUCCAAAGCGAGAGGUGAAAUUCUUAGACCUUCGGAAGACUAACAGCUGCGAAAGCGUUCCGCAAGGAUGUUCCCUUUGAUCAAGAACGAAAGUUGGGGGAUCGAAGACGAUCAGAUACCGUCGUAGUCUCAACUAUAAACUAUACCAGCUAGGGAUCGGCCAACGUUAAAUUAUUCGACUUGGUCGGCACCUUAUGAGAAAUUAAAGCAUCUGGGUUCCGGGGGGAGUAUGGUCGCAAGGCUGAAACUUAAAGGAAUUGACGGAAGGGCACCACCAGCCGUGGAGCCUGUGGCUUAAUUUGACUCAACACGGGAAAACUUACCAGGUCCAGACAUAGUAAGGAUUGACAGAUUGAUAGCUCUUUCUUGAUUCUGUGGGUGGUGGUGCAUGGCCGUUCUUAGUUGGUGGAGUGAUUUGUCUGGUUAAUUCCGUUAACGAACGAGACCCCAGCCUGCUAAAUAGCGCGGUUGAGCUUUGCUCGGCGCGAGCUUCUUAGAGGGACUAUGAUGCGCGAUAGCACAUGGAAGUUUGGGGCAAUAACAGGUCUGUGAUGCCCUUAGAUGUUCUGGGCCGCACACGGGCUACGCUGGCGCUGCAACGAGCAUAUCAGCUGGCCCGANAGGUCUGGCUAUCUUUGACGGCGC
This 921-nucleotide ribosomal RNA is filed under the name uncultured eukaryote. RNAcentral describes it as "SSU rRNA". It matches the Rfam family "Eukaryotic small subunit ribosomal RNA", at positions 620 to 1565 of the family's 1831-position model. The record is from RNAcentral.